GGGGAAAUGGUGUAGUGGCUAUCACAUUCGCUUUGCAUGCGAAAGGCCCCGGGUUCAAACCCCGGUUUCUCCA
This is a transfer RNA of Mucor circinelloides, 73 nucleotides long. It matches the Rfam family "tRNA". From Rfam's summary of the family: Transfer RNA (tRNA) molecules are approximately 80 nucleotides in length. Their secondary structure includes four short double-helical elements and three loops (D, anti-codon, and T loops). The record is from Rfam. NCBI's taxonomy places the organism in Eukaryota, Fungi, Mucoromycota, Mucoromycetes, Mucorales, Mucoraceae.